CAGUAGCCACGGUAAUACGAAGGGGGCUAGCGUUGUUCGGAUUUACUGGGCGUAAAGGGCGCGUAGGCGGACUGAUAAGUCAGGGGUGAAAUCCCAAGGCUCAACCUUGGAAUUGCCUUUGAUACUGUUUGUCUUGAGUUCGAGAGAGGUAAGUGGAACUGCGAGUGUAGAGGUGAAAUUCGUAGAUAUCCGCAAGAACACCAGUGGCGAAGGCGGCUUACUGGCUCGAAACUGACGCUGAGGCGCGAAAGCGUGGGGAGCAAACAGGAUUAGAUACCCGUGUAGUCCCUGUCUCUUAUAC
Molecule: ribosomal RNA, 301 nt
Filed under: uncultured bacterium
Lineage: Bacteria
Description: partial 16S ribosomal RNA
Rfam family: Bacterial small subunit ribosomal RNA
Source: RNAcentral